RNAcentral lists this ribosomal RNA (235 nucleotides) under uncultured bacterium. Its description in RNAcentral is "partial 16S ribosomal RNA". It matches the Rfam family "Bacterial small subunit ribosomal RNA", at positions 96 to 334 of the family's 1533-position model. The record is from RNAcentral.
UGGCGGACGGGUGAGUAAUGUCUGGGAAACUGCCCGAUGGAGGGGGAUAACUACUGGAAACGGUAGCUAAUACCGCAUAACGUCGCAAGACCAAAGAGGGGGACCUUCGGGCCUCUUGCCAUCGGAUGUGCCCAGAUGGGAUUAGCCAGUAGGUGGGGUAACGGCUCACCUAGGCGACGAUCCCUAGCUGGUCUGAGAGGAUGACCAGCCACACUGGAACUGAGACACGGUCCAG